UCUAUUAAGACACGUGGGACACCAUUUCUUUACAUAGAAAUAAUCACCACCGUAUCCAGCAUAUGUUUAUAUUUGUUGCAUUCCUUUUGUGCUAGGAUAUAAAUAUAUAUAUACACAUCUGAUAUAUUAAUUCUUAAACAUUAAGGUUCUCUAGAUAUCUAGCACCACCGUAUGUUGCUAUAUAUGUUUAUUAGUUGUGUAGAACCAUAGCAUCCAAGAAGAUUAGCAUUUCCAUGUAUAGCUAAUAAAAGGGCACUAGCCAUGGUAUUUUCAAGCCACUGGUUCAACGUGAAAAUGGGGAAUUUGGCCUAGGGAGAGAGUUGCUCCAAGACCAUGUAUAGUUAUCCUCCUCCGUCGACUUUAUGUUUAUAACAUCGGUUUCCUCCGGAUCCUAGCAAAUCAGAGAAUUUUUUUCAAAGAGAAGGUGGAAGAAAAGUAUUUCUUGGCAUAUAAGGUAACGGCGUGACAUUGGGGGAGGGCAAGUGAAGGAUAACAUAUCUAAACGACAAAGGUAGACAGGAAGGUGAGCUUGGUCCAGACCCUUAGUAGCUGUCAACUGAUUGAGAGCACUCCAUUGUCCGGAGGUGCUUAUGGUUCUUCUUUUGGUAUAUAUGCAUAUUUUGGGCAUGACGGAGUCUUGUUCCGUCUAUAUGUUUAGUAUGUCAGUAGAGGCUCGUAGAUACGCAGUGUGGGUCAGAUGGUCUCGCAAGAUGUUAUUAUUAUGUAUAUGUUAUUUUAAUGGCCGAGAGGCAAAUGUAUAUAAGUAUUUAUGUUUUUAUAUAAAAUAUGA
This is a long non-coding RNA of Lycium barbarum (goji berry), 790 nucleotides long. RefSeq lists it as uncharacterized. Lineage: Eukaryota; Viridiplantae; Streptophyta; Magnoliopsida; Solanales; Solanaceae. The transcript is spliced from 3 exons. The record is from RefSeq and is a predicted model, not a curated record.